ACAAACUAAACCUAACCUGCCAGCCGCAUAAAGAGCCUCUUAUCUUGGUCUAUCACAAGAACGGGUUUGAUAUGUGAUAGCAGCCCCUUUUUUUUAUUUCUUACCUCUGAUCUCUCUGUCUCCGAAAGCAUAGAUGUUGAAAAUUUUCGAGAUUGAAGAUAACAGCCGCCGCGAUCUGCAGGUGUGGAGAGACGCUGCUUCCGGAAUUGUUGUUUUACGACCGGGAUCGAGAGAGAUUGUGCGGUGUGCUUGUUUGAAUCUCUCUGUGUCUAUCUUCUUGAUGUUUUCGAGGGGAGCAGAGAUGUCAAGUUUUUGGAGAUUGAAGAUAAACAGCCGCCGCGAUCUGCAGGUGUGGAGAGACGCUGCUUCCUGAAUUGUUAUUUUACGACCAGUAUCGGGAGAGAUUAUGUACUUUGUUGGUUAGAAUCUCUCUGUCUAUCUUCUUGAUGUUUUCUAGGGAGCAGAGAUGUCGAAUUUUUGAAGGUGUGUAGAGACGCUGCGUCCGGAAUUGUUAUUUAUCGACCGGGAUCGGGAGCGAUUGUGCAGUUGGUUUGUUGGCUUGAAUCUCUCUGUCUAUUUAUUUUUGGAGAUUAAACCGAUCUGCUGGUUUGGAGAGACGCUGCUUCCGGAAUUGUUGAUUUACGACUGGGAUCAAAAAAGAUUGUGCCGUUUGUUGGUAUGAAUCUCUCUGUCUAUCUUGAUGUUUUCGAGGGGAGCAGAGAUGUCGAAUUUUUGAAGGUGUGGCGAGACGCUGCUUCCGGAAUUGAUCUGCAGGAUCGAGAGAGAUUGUGCAGUUUGUUGGUUUGAAUCUCUCUCUGUGAUGUCGAAUUUUGGGAGGUGUAAAGAGACGCUGCUUCCGGAUUCUUAUUUUACGAGAGUGAUUGUGCGGUUUGUUGGUUUGAAUCUCUCUGUGUCUAUCAUCUUGAUGUUUGGAGCAGAGAUGUCGUUUGUUUGGUGGUGUGGAGAGACGCGGCUUCCGGAAUUCUUAUUUUACUGGAUCGAGAGUUAUUGUGCGGUUUGUUGGUUUGAAUCUCUCUGUCUAUCUUCUUGAUGUUUUCGAGGGCCAAAGAUGGCGAAUUUUCGGAGAUUGAAGAUAAACAGCCGCCGCGAUCUGCAGGUGUCAAGAGGCGCAAGUGCCGCCAAAUUCAUGAAUAAGGACUUCUGCCACCACCGCAACUGCCGCAUCACCACAUCUGCCGCUGCAACCCCCGCCACAAAAGCGACCGCCACCCACCACCACCACUUGAGGAUGAAACUUUGGGCUCUUACUGCACAUAGCCACCCAAGGGCCGGCACAGCCGCCAUCUCUCCACUGUAAAACCUCCCAAUACCCACAUUGUGAAAAAACACCAAACCCACCCACAUUGUGAAAAAACACCAAACCCAUCCAAACCUAUCUCUCAAACGUAAAUUCCAAGGCCCAAAACCUACCCAAAAAUCCGUAGACACAUUCUACAAAAACACUAAACCCACCCAACAACCCAUACCCACAUUCUACAAAAACACUAAACUCACCCAGAAAACCCCAAUGCCCAAAACCAUACCCACAUUCUACAAAAACACUAAACUCACCCAGAAAACCCAAUGCCCAAAAC
Prunus persica (peach) is the source of this 1595-nucleotide long non-coding RNA. RefSeq lists it as uncharacterized. The transcript is spliced from 2 exons. NCBI's taxonomy places the organism in Eukaryota, Viridiplantae, Streptophyta, Magnoliopsida, Rosales, Rosaceae. The record is from RefSeq and is a predicted model, not a curated record.